This is a long non-coding RNA of Homo sapiens (human), 635 nucleotides long. Ensembl annotates it as long intergenic non-protein coding RNA 844. Lineage: Eukaryota; Metazoa; Chordata; Mammalia; Primates; Hominidae. The record is from Ensembl.
AGAGACAAAGGAAACACAGAGACAUAGACAUGGAUCUGGGAAAUACACCUUUUGCUACUCGUUCAGUUUUAGCAAGGAGGUUUCUUGCAUGGCUAAGCAAAACUUAAACUUCCUCUGAGAAUUACAGGAAUUACAGGACCUGACAAAGCUAUGAAGAUUAAACCCUGACUAGCCUGCUGAAGGGACAGAGACCACAGGCACAGAGCUGAGGUGUGCCAGCUGAGGCCAUCUGAAACAUGGGAGAGAGAGAUGGCUAUGGUCAAAGAAAUGCUCAGCCAGGCCUGACCAAGAUCAACAGAACCCACCAGCUAACUGUGAAUACCUAUAGGAAGAAAAUCUGAACCAGAAACAGUAUGGCAGAAUUGGGAUCUGACUCACAGAGGGAAGAACUUAUAAUUCUUCACAGGUCACAUAGAAGCAUGAGAAUUUGGGUUCAAGCAAGUAAAUUCUAAAUCAGAAUCCAUACAUAAAGUGUUUGCAAUGUCCAGUUAUAUCUCCAUGAUAUUUUCUUUGUGGAAGUUGAUUGUUCUUCCUUACAAUAAAUUGCUUGAAUUGUCUGUCUAUUCAUUUAGCUAUUUCUUUUCUUGUCUUUGCGAUAUUUUUUUUUGUAAGUAAAAAAUUUUCAGACUAAAUAA